This 498-nucleotide ribosomal RNA is filed under the name uncultured bacterium. RNAcentral describes it as "bacterial SSU rRNA". It matches the Rfam family "Bacterial small subunit ribosomal RNA", at positions 28 to 478 of the family's 1533-position model. The record is from RNAcentral.
GAUGAACGCUGGCGGCGUGCCUAAUACAUGCAAGUCGAACGCAUUGUGGUUGAAAUGAUAUGAAGAACUUGUUCAGAUUUGAUUUUCAACAUUGCAAUGAGUGGCGAACGGGUGAGUAACACGUGGGAAACCUACCUCUUAGCAGGGGAUAACAUUUGGAAACAAAUGCUAAUACCGUAUAAUAAUUAAAACCGCAUGGUUUUAGUUUAAAAGAUGGUCUUGCUAUCACUAAGAGAUGGUCCCGCGGUGUAUUAGUUAGUUGGUGAGGUAAUGGCUCACCAAGACAAUGAUACAUAGCCGAGUUGAGAGACUGACCGGCCACAAUGGGACUGAGACACGGCCCAUACUCCUACGGGAGGCAGCAGUAGGGAAUCUUCCACAAUGGACGAAAGUACUGAUGGAGCAACGCCGCGUGUGUGAUGAAGGGUUUCGGCUCGUAAAACACUAGUUGUAAGAGAAGAAUGACAUUGAGAGUAACUGUUCAAUGUGUGACGGUAU